This 596-nucleotide ribosomal RNA is filed under the name Acrobeloides sp. MCb19f-r. RNAcentral describes it as "SSU rRNA". It matches the Rfam family "Eukaryotic small subunit ribosomal RNA", at positions 1033 to 1655 of the family's 1831-position model. Lineage: Eukaryota; Metazoa; Nematoda; Chromadorea; Rhabditida; Cephalobidae. The record is from RNAcentral.
UAAAAGAUGCCAACUAGCGAUCCGCCGGUGGAUUUUUAGCCCUGGUGGGUAGCUUCCCGGAAACGAAAGUCUUCCGGUUCCGGGGGAAGUAUGGUUGCAAAGCUGAAACUUAAAGGAAUUGACGGAAGGGCACCACCAGGAGUGGAGCCUGCGGCUUAAUUUGACUCAACACGGGGAAACUCACCCGGCCCGGACACCGUAAGGAUUGACAGAUUGAUAGCUCUUUCAUGAUUCGGUGGUUGGUGGUGCAUGGCCGUUCUUAGUUCGUGGAUCGAUUUGUCUGGUUUAUUCCGAUAACGAGCGAGACUCUAGCCUACUAAAUAGUAACGAGAUUAUCAAUGUCUCAGUUGCUUCUUAGAGGGAUUUUCGGUGUUUAGCCGCACGAGAUUGAGCAAUAACAGGUCUGUGAUGCCCUUAGAUGUCCGGGGCUGCACGCGCGCUACACUGGCGAAAUCAGCGUGCUGUAUCCAUUCUCGAAAGGGAUUGGUAAACCCAUGAAAAUUUGCCGUGCUUGGGAUCGGAAAUUGCAAUUAUUUUCCGUGAACGAGGAAUUCCAAGUAAGUGCGAGUCAUCAACUCGCUCUGAUUACGUCCCUG